CACGUAGGGUGCGAGCAUUGUCCGGAAUUAUUGGGCGUAAAGAGCUCGUAGGCGGUUUGUCGCGUCUGCUGUGAAAACCCGAGGCUCAACCUCGGGCCUGCAGUGGGUACGGGCAGACUAGAGUGCGGUAGGGGAGAUUGGAAUUCCUGGUGUAGCGGUGGAAUGCGCAGAUAUCAGGAGGAACACCAAUGGCGAAGGCAGAUCUCUGGGCCGUAACUGACGCUGAGGAGCGAAAGCAUGGGGAGCGAACAGG
This 253-nucleotide ribosomal RNA is filed under the name uncultured bacterium. RNAcentral's name for it is "partial 16S ribosomal RNA". It matches the Rfam family "Bacterial small subunit ribosomal RNA", at positions 524 to 776 of the family's 1533-position model. The record is from RNAcentral.